This 495-nucleotide long non-coding RNA is filed under the name Pongo abelii (Sumatran orangutan). RNAcentral describes it as "lincRNA". The record is from RNAcentral. Lineage: Eukaryota; Metazoa; Chordata; Mammalia; Primates; Hominidae.
GGUAAUGAGCUUGUAUUAUGACUCAAUAGCAUCACUUUAUCACUUUAACACAGAUGGAGGCCUAAAUAACCAUAGGGCAAUGCUUCUUCUUAGAUGCAGAGGGACACAUUUAUAUAAUCUUAGGGACCCCGUCUCUGAGGUCACUCAUAAUUUAUAUUAAUUCAUUGUUAUUGCCAUUGUCCCAAGAAUAGAUAAGGAUAAGACAUGCUGUAGUAUAGGUAGCAGAGAUAUAAACUAUUCUUAUUCUUGUGUCUUGUCUAUAGGAAGGGAGUGUAUCCUGGUGUAUGACAGCAUAUAGUAGAGACCAUUGUCAGUUAGAGCCUGUGAACUGAGACAGGGUGACUGGCUAAGUCCACAACCCAUUAGAAACCCAGAAAUAAUCAAAUCAUGAGGGAUCAUGGAAAGGAAGCUGAAUUUGCUGAGUUUUGCCACAUGGGCAUUGUAUGCCUAUGUGAUUAACCACCAAUAAAAACCUGGGACAUCAAAGGAUAAAUA